GCAGCCGCUCGCUCCCGCCUAGUGGCGCAGUCGGAGACCACUCCGAGUUAGCCCGGGCGCCCCGCCCACGGCGGCCGCCUCCAUUGGCCACUUGCCGGCCCGCGGACGGUGACGUAAGCGCGGGGCUGCAGCAGCCUGAGCCGGCCGCUAGGGGGAAACGGGCAUCUGAGGAUUGGAGCAUCUCUCGAAACAUGUCCUCCUUAGUCACUUCCUCAUCUGGUGGGGGCCCUGCGCCAUUGUGUAAGGGGUUCCCUCGAAGACCACAUCUGCAGAUGCACAAGAAGCAAGCGGAAGCAUGAUUGUUAGUGCACGCACAGCAUUAAAUAAUUAUCCUAAAAUACAUCUCUUUUUAAAUACAAA
This is a long non-coding RNA of Mauremys reevesii (Reeves's turtle), 360 nucleotides long. RefSeq lists it as uncharacterized. The transcript is spliced from 2 exons. The record is from RefSeq and is a predicted model, not a curated record. NCBI's taxonomy places the organism in Eukaryota, Metazoa, Chordata, Testudines, Geoemydidae.